Molecule: long non-coding RNA, 849 nt
Organism: Sapajus apella (tufted capuchin)
Lineage: Eukaryota; Metazoa; Chordata; Mammalia; Primates; Cebidae
Exons: 2
Source: RefSeq, a predicted model, not a curated record
UAAAGUCUACAUGGUCAUGGUAUAUUAUCCUUUUAAGCAGUGAUGGUAAUUUUUAAUUUCAGUUUUCACAUAUUCAUUGGUAAUACAGUCAUCCCUUGGUAUCCAUCUAGGACUGGCUCCAGGACCCCUUCAAAAUCUACAGAUGCUUUAAAUCAUCUCUAGAUGAUACAAUGUAAAUGCUAUGCAUUGGACAAAAUGCAGUAUAGGACUAUGAUUCUUUGAGAAGUGUUAAAAACAAAGGUAUGUCCUGUAAAUUCUUUUGAAUUAUUAUCUGAAAACGGUUUUCUCACUGCAGUGCAAGACAGGGAAUGCAAACAAAGCCUGACGUAUUACUGAGUUAAGAAAACAGAACUUUGUGUUUUGAGUAGCUUAGUGCCAGAGAGCUGGGAUUGGGAGAGAUUGAUAGAGAAUUCUGAAGAUGUGCUGAGAGAGUCCCUUGACGCUAUGGCUGGCUGGGUACUGAUCUGUACAGAUAUAUGUAUGUAUGAAAGAAUACCACUGAACACCAGGGAAAGAACCAUAAGAAAACAGUAAGCCAAACAAUUCCUAGAUUCCACAAAUAGUUUUGGACAUGCUUAGCCAAAAUGUAAUGAAUACACAAAUACUGGGAAGAAUUCCCAGAAAGGUAUUGUGUUAGUAUAAGGCAAAUAAGUUCUAUACAAGCAAGCCUAAAAUAAAGUAAACUGACUCUCAGUAACUUAAUUGUGUACCAGCACAACAGAGCCCAAUACUAUUAAAAAGAAUAACAAAAUCUAGCUAUCAUCAAUAUAAGGUUUACAGUAUCUGGCAUCCAGUCAAAAAAUGCCAAAAAAAAUCAACCAGGAAAAUAUAACACAGUUCAUAGAUAAU